Molecule: ribosomal RNA, 253 nt
Filed under: uncultured bacterium
Lineage: Bacteria
Description: partial 16S ribosomal RNA
Rfam family: Bacterial small subunit ribosomal RNA
Source: RNAcentral
UACGGAGGGUGCAAGCGUUGUCCGGAAUUAUUGGGCGUAAAGAGCUUGUAGGCGGUUUGUCGCGUCUGCUGUGAAAUUUCGGGGCUCAACCCCGAACUUGCAGUGGGUACGGGCAGACUAGAGUGUGGUAGGGGAGACUGGAAUUCCUGGUGUAGCGGUGAAAUGCGCAGAUAUCAGGAGGAACACCGAUGGCGAAGGCAGGUCUCUGGGCAUUAACUGACGCUGAGGAGCGAAAGCAUGGGGAGCGAACAGG